GAUGAACGCUGGCGGCGUGCCUAAUACAUGCAAGUCGAGCGAACGGACGAGAAGCUUGCUUCUCUGACGUUAGCGGAGGACGGGAGAGUAACACGUGGAUAAGCUACCUAUAAGACUGGGAUAACUUCGGGAACGGGGAGCUAAUACAGGAGGAUAUUGUGAACCGCAGGGUGCACAACUGGAAGACGGUCUUGCUGUCACUUAUAGAUGGAUUAGCGCUGCAUUAGCUAGUUGGUAAGGUAACGGCUUACCAAGGCAACGAUGCAUAGCUGACCUGAGAGGGUGAUCAGCCACACUGGAACUGAGACACGGUCCAGACUCCUACGGGAGGCAGCAGUAGGGAAUCUUCCGCAAUGGGCGAAAGCCUGACGCAGCAAUGCCGCGUGUGUGAUGAAGGUCUUCGGGUCGUAAAACUCUGUUAUUAGGGAAGAACAUAUGUGUAAGUAACUGGGCGCAUCUUGACGGUACCUAAUCAGAAAGCCACGGCUAACUACGUG
Molecule: ribosomal RNA, 497 nt
Filed under: uncultured bacterium
Lineage: Bacteria
Description: partial 16S ribosomal RNA
Rfam family: Bacterial small subunit ribosomal RNA
Source: RNAcentral